GACCUUCGGGCUAUUUGCUGCCCUUUCAGGAGAGCAACUGGUUGUCGACUCAGAGAGUCCAGCGAAGCCACCGAGACAAAUUGACUCGUCCGGCCCGAUUGAAAGUGGGAGAUCCCAUACGCACCAAUUCAAUAUGGACUUUGACAUGGAAUCCAUGUCCGCGGCGAUCGGGGUUUCUAUCCCCGUGCUGCGGUUCCUACUUUGCUUUGUGGCGACUAUUCCUGUGAGUUUCAUCCACCGACUCGUCCCUGGUAAACUCGGCAAGCACAUGUACGCGGCCUUUUCUGGGGCUUUUCUCUCCUAUCUUUCAUUCGGAUUCUCUUCAAAUCUCCAUUUUUUGGUGCCCAUGUUGUUGGGUUA
This 360-nucleotide unclassified non-coding RNA is filed under the name Hevea brasiliensis (rubber tree). Lineage: Eukaryota; Viridiplantae; Streptophyta; Magnoliopsida; Malpighiales; Euphorbiaceae. The record is from RNAcentral.